Molecule: long non-coding RNA, 276 nt
Organism: Arachis duranensis
Lineage: Eukaryota; Viridiplantae; Streptophyta; Magnoliopsida; Fabales; Fabaceae
Exons: 2
Source: RefSeq, a predicted model, not a curated record
CCCCGGUCUUGAAAACCGGUAUAGUUCACAACACGAACUAUCGAGGGUUCGAAUCCCUCUCUCUCCUUUUGUUUUUGCUCGACGAAAGUAUUUUUUUUUUAUUGGUUUUGGUUGGUUCGGUUUUUUCGGAAUUUCGAUAUAAUUAGAUUAGAUAGAAAUGGAUUAAAACGAGAAGUAAAAUACUUUUUAUUUUUUAUUUUAAUCUGACCCGCUCGACUCAACCCUAUAUGUAUGGUAAAAUCAACGUGAUUCCUACUUCAAGCAUUAGAUCUCAUA